This is a long non-coding RNA of Vespa velutina, 3253 nucleotides long. RefSeq lists it as uncharacterized. NCBI's taxonomy places the organism in Eukaryota, Metazoa, Arthropoda, Insecta, Hymenoptera, Vespidae. The record is from RefSeq and is a predicted model, not a curated record. The transcript is spliced from 2 exons.
AACCUCACCUUACUUAAUAUAUUACCUUAAAUCACUACGUGUUUAUAUACCAACAUAUAUUACGUAUAUUACAUAUAUAUAUAUACCCACACUUACAUGCAUAUAUACAUGCAUUAUAUACACACACAUAUACACAAGACACGAAUACCACUUAAUAUAUAUAUAUAUAUAUGAAGAUAUAGACGCGCCGUGCGCCUCCUGAUUCAAAAAGUGAUGAGAAAUGAAACGUAACUUCCGUUUCCGGCCCGGGUUUCCCGCCUACAAUCGUCAAGAGUUCGUUACUCGCGUCUUUAAAAGUCUCGAGAGAACGGAUGGCCCUUAAGAUCUGCGACAGUCCCGGCAGUACACGCCAAUAAAAAAGACGCACGAUCAACCGGUAUCGAGGAUCGAGAGAAUUUCCCAUGUGUAAAGAAAAAAUUCGUUGAAUGGCCGAGGCACGGAAGUAGAGAUUCCUUCCGUGUUUUAAUGGUAGAGCAUAAAUAGUUCUCGAUGAGAUAGGAUUGCGGCGCGUGCUUUUGUCAGGAUACGAAAUUAAGAUAGGCAAAGAUCACUUUUAGGAUCACACUCACCGGCGUAUUUGUAAGUUUUUUGAGAAUGCGUUUAAACGUGACCGAGUAAAAUACUUUUUGAAUUGGAGACGUCGGCUGCUAUAUAUCCAAAUCAAUAUGAACGUAAGAUAUUGAUAUGGGUGUACCAAUAUUUCGUACUGAAAACGUGGUAUUGGCUGAUUGCUUAAUUUAUUCUUUUUUGUCUUUUCGUUUUACUUUUUUCUUUUAACUUUUUUUUUUCUACAGUGUCCGCCGUGUCCAAACGAGCGUGCGCGAUGAUCUUCAUCCGAAUCGAUCUGAUCAAUGAAAUCAUGAAUUAUGUUAAAUAAUAAUAAUAAUGAUGAUGAUAAUGAUUAUAUUACGUUCUAGAGAUGAAGGGGGGAGAAAAAACAGGAAGUGUUAAAAGUUCGAUGACUAGUCACGCGAUAAAGACACGGCGUGACACCAGGGUGGACACGAAUGCUGUAUCUAAAAGCUCAGCGUAUAUUUAUAAUACUUCUACUUGAUAGAAACUUUGUAGCUCACUUUUAACAAUAGUGCAUGUUGCUUUUAUCUCGGGCUACAAGUUUCUCGAUAUUACAAAAAAUGGAAAGAAAAAAAGGUUGUAUAAUGGAAUAAAUAAAUUCAUAUUUGUUCUCUCGCGUAAUUAUAUAUGUAAUAUUAUUAAAUGUUUGUGCCGCGUUAGAAAAAUUAAAUUAAAAAGAAUAAACGUCCUUUUCGUUAAGGAGAUUAAAUUAUGUUUUGCUAUUUAACGAAACUUGUGGUCGAUAUUGCAUGUUUGUAGUUUGAAACAUUAUUCUUCCUUCGACAAUAGUAGCGGACUUAGUUCUUUCUAUAUUAUAAUUAUUGAACUGUUUGAGUAUAUAGAUUGUGUAUAUAUAUAUUUAUAUAUUUAUAUAUAUCGUAUAUAUAUCAUAUAUAUAUAUGUAUAUAUAUGUGUAUAUAUAUAUAUAUGUAUAUUUCGUAGAUACAAUUAUAUAGUUAUUUUUUAAUAAGGAUAAAAGUUGAAAGAAAAACGUAAUAUCAUGAUCGCUCGUCGUUCAAUUGAAGAAAAGAAAGAAAGAGAAAGAAACAAAAAAAAAAAAAAAAGAAAUAAAAAAAAAUGUAAUAAAAAAGAAAAGAAUAUUUUAACACGAGCUUCGUUGCCGAAGAAAGACAAAGAAUGAAAAUGAAAGGGAAGCGUGUUUGCGUGUGGAAGUGUGGAAUUAUAUAUAAUAUAUAGACGAUAACGUCGAGUGAAAUUACGUUUGCCUGCAUCAAUCGGUUAAUGUGCAAGUAUAGCUUUGAUAAUUUUUACGUAUUUGUAUUUUAGUUUGCAUGUUUGGAACGCGAAGUAGAGAUAUAUGUAUGUAUCAUAUAUACAUAUAUCUGAAGGGUGAAAAAGCAUCAUCGAAUAAGAUUGACAAAUUACUUUCAUCUUCUUUCAUUUAUGAAGAAAUAAGAAAAUGUUAAUAACAAUUCAUUGUAUUAAAAGAAGAAGAAAAAAACGAAGAUGCUUGAACCCGUACUUGAUAUGUUGCUAUGAUAUUUAUUAUGCAUGCUUUUGAUAUAUUAUAUAUUAGAAAUUUCCUCUGAAUUCAUUCUCUCCGAUAAUAAUAAUAAAAAAAAAAAAAAGAAUAAAAUAUAAUAAAAUAAAAUAAAAACAAUGAAGGCUGAUUCUGAUCUAUUAUACAAUAAUUUAAUUAAUUGCUUCGAUGAUCAAUACAAAAACAUUCUGGAUCAUCAAUAAAAUACUUGCUUUUUUUUUUAUAAAUGGAGAGAUCGAAUGAGGACAUUUUUACAAUUUUGAAUGAACUUUUUGUCCAUGUAAUCAAAUAGUUUUGUAGUUUUUUUAAACUAUUUCCAAGAGAUCUUCCUAUUCCUUUCGGUUUUUCGCUAUUGAAAUGAUAAUUUUAUUCAAUAUAUACGAAGUAGUAGAUAUCCAUAAAUCGUUCUUUCCUUCAUUGUAUUGUUUUUUGUUAAUUGGUUGGACAGAAAGAAAGAGAAAAACAGAGGAAGAGAAAGAAUAAGAGAGAAAAAGAACGAAUCUGUCGGGAUAUCGAGAUUAGGAUCAUAGGAAUUUCUCUCGCAGUUUUAUUUGCAUGUGCAUGUGUUUGGCAGACACUAUACCAUGUAUACUGUUAAUAGUGAGCUUAAAUGAUAUAGUGUUUUAUGAAACUUUAGUCAAAAGUUUGAGGGUGUUAAUGCCUCCAUUAUUGAGAAACGGGUAAUGGUACGGGAGAUGGAAUUUUUUGAUCUCGAUGACGAGUAUAAAUCUUAAUCGAUCUUUACAAAUAUGACACGACGUGAUUCUUCGACCUGAAUAUUAUCUAUUAUCUAACUUAGAAAAGAAAGUUAUUGACGAUGCGGAGACUCGUUUAGAGGUAAAAAAAAAUCGUCUUUCAUACUGGUCACUCGAUUUUUACUUUGGAGGCACGACUGUUCCACCGAAGCAUUUCGAUAAAUUAUCGUCAUUAGCAGAAACAGAUGGACUACAAUAUUAUGAUUGAUGGCAGUGUUCGAAUUAUUGCUCAUCUUUUUUUUUUUUUUACGUUAUGUUUACUGAAACAAAAAGGAAAAAAAAAAGAAAAGAAAAAGCAAGAAAUUAAUACGAAAACCUUAACCAUUUGGCUCUGACGCGAACUGGGUCGAAUAUGCUCAUUGGGACAAAUCGAGGGAGAGAGAAAGAGAAAGAGAGUUGAAAGAAGGAGACGGGGAGAGGGAAA